This 253-nucleotide ribosomal RNA is filed under the name uncultured bacterium. RNAcentral describes it as "partial 16S ribosomal RNA". It matches the Rfam family "Bacterial small subunit ribosomal RNA", at positions 524 to 776 of the family's 1533-position model. The record is from RNAcentral.
UACGGAGGGGGCUAGCGUUAUUCGGAAUUAUUGGGCGUAAAGAGCUCGUAGGCGGUUUGUCGCGUCUGUCGUGAAAGCCCACGGCUUAACCGUGGGUCUGCGGUGGAUACGGGCAGACUAGAGGCAGGUAGGGGAGAACGGAAUUCCCGGAGUAGCGGUGAAAUGCGCAGAUAUCGGGAGGAACACCGGUGGCGAAGGCGGAUCUCUGGGCCAUUACUGACGCUGAGGAGCGAAAGCGUGGGGAGCGAACAGG